Molecule: ribosomal RNA, 390 nt
Filed under: Mangifera indica (mango)
Lineage: Eukaryota; Viridiplantae; Streptophyta; Magnoliopsida; Sapindales; Anacardiaceae
Description: partial 18S ribosomal RNA
Source: RNAcentral
UUUGAUGUACUAAGGGGGAUCCCUAUCCGGUCCAAAACCAGGGAUUCCGGUCUAGUGUAAGACCUGCCGGAGAGCACGCCCGCGGAUCAUGGGUGUUUAUAACCCACCCCUUGCCGGAAAGUACCGAAAAUUUCGAUUGGGCAACCCAGGGGGAGGGCCCGGGGGGGACUUUCUGCCCCCCCACCGGAAAAAAAUCCCCCCUCUCUUUUGGGGGGGGGAAAAUGGUGUACACCCCAGCACACGUUUCCGGCCCUAAAAAGGGGUUGGGGGCCAACUGAAUUUUAAAAAUUGGUGGGUUACGGGGUUUUCAAAUUCCACCCCAGGUUGCAAUUCUGGUAGUAAAAAAAGCGUACAAGGUUUCCGUAGGGUGAACCUGCGGAAGGAUCAUUG